UUCCCUGAUGACAAAGGGCCUUGACGGCCUGACCAAUAUAAACCCAGCUCUUCGAAUGUCCAUGACAUACUGAGAAGAAAAACAUUCUGAAC
Molecule: small nucleolar RNA, 92 nt
Filed under: Trichoderma virens Gv29-8
Lineage: Eukaryota; Fungi; Ascomycota; Sordariomycetes; Hypocreales; Hypocreaceae
Source: RNAcentral